Molecule: ribosomal RNA, 263 nt
Filed under: uncultured bacterium
Lineage: Bacteria
Description: partial 16S ribosomal RNA
Rfam family: Bacterial small subunit ribosomal RNA
Source: RNAcentral
UUAGUGGCGGACGGGUGAGUAACGCGUGGGUAACCUGCCUUGUACUGGGGGACAACAGUUGGAAACGACUGCUAAUACCGCAUAAGCGCACAGCUUCGCAUGAAGCAGUGUGAAAAACUCCGGUGGUACAAGACGGACCCGCGUCUGAUUAGCUGGUUGGUGAGGUAACGGCCCACCAAGGCGACGAUCAGUAGCCGGCCUGAGAGGGUGAACGGCCACAUUGGGACUGAGACACGGCCCAAACUCCUACGGGAGGCAGCAUG